Long non-coding RNA from Nilaparvata lugens (brown planthopper), 561 nucleotides. RefSeq lists it as uncharacterized. The transcript is spliced from 2 exons. NCBI's taxonomy places the organism in Eukaryota, Metazoa, Arthropoda, Insecta, Hemiptera, Delphacidae. The record is from RefSeq and is a predicted model, not a curated record.
CUUUUUUCUGUUGCAGAUGGUGUUAAAAAACAAAUUUUACAUCUGAUUCGAAAUUCUUAGAUUUCUCCCAAUACUUGGAAAGCACACCCGUCUCAUUUCUCUUGUGAACAUCAACAGGCUAGAUCAACUCUACUGGUGUCAAAAGUGCAUGGAACAAACAUAGCAGAAAGAGCUACAGUGAGUCGAGUGGCGCCGAUGAUACCCCUGCCAUUGAGCAGAUAAUACAGCGUUAGCUGGGGGACUCAUAGCCUUAGCAUGUUCUCCAUGUGUUUAAUUUUAGUAUUUGAGCUUCAAGACUCCUGGUACGACACAGAUAAGUGCCUAUAGGCCCAAUUCACAUCGAAAUGACGUGGCUUUGGAGUGGCGCUGACUUUUUAACAUACAAACAUAAAUGGUUGAAUGCAAACAGAAGUGGCUUGGCGAAAUGCCAAUCCAGUGUGCAUUGGACCAUAGGCCUAUAAUUAUGGAGUGCCAAAAUGUCAGUGACAUACCACCACCACGUCACUGUUCAGCUGUUCUUGUUUAUGUUGUAUGCUUGUAAAUAAAUUCAAUUCUAUUAAU